Molecule: transfer RNA, 72 nt
Organism: Chlorocebus sabaeus (green monkey)
Lineage: Eukaryota; Metazoa; Chordata; Mammalia; Primates; Cercopithecidae
Rfam family: tRNA
About the family: Transfer RNA (tRNA) molecules are approximately 80 nucleotides in length.
Source: Rfam
UCCCUGGUGGUCUAGUGGCUAGGAUUUGGCGUUUUCACUGCCGCGACCCGGGUUCGAUUCCCAGUCAGGGAA